RNAcentral lists this ribosomal RNA (501 nucleotides) under uncultured bacterium. RNAcentral's name for it is "partial 16S ribosomal RNA". It matches the Rfam family "Bacterial small subunit ribosomal RNA", at positions 28 to 523 of the family's 1533-position model. The record is from RNAcentral.
GAUGAACGCUAGCGGCAGGCCUAACACAUGCAAGUCGAGGGGCAGCACAGAAACAGCAAUGUUUUGGUGGCGACCGGCGGACGGGUGCGUAACGCGUAUGCAACCUACCUUUAACAGGGGGAUAACGGAGAGAAAUUUGCACUAAUACCCCAUAACAUCGAUCGAGGCAUAUAGAUUGGUUGAAAACUCCGGUGGCUAAAGAUGGGCAUGCGUUGUAUUAGGUAGUUGGUGAGGUAAUGGCCCACCAAGCCUACGAUACAUCGGGGGACUGAGAGGUUAGCCCCACACACUGAUACUGAGACACGGGCCAGACUCCGACGGGAGGCAGCAGUGAUUAAUAUUGGUCAAUGGGGCAACCCUGAACCAGCCAUGCCGCGUGCAGGAAGACGGCUCUAUGAGUUGUAUACUGCUUUUAAACAGGGAUAAAGCACAGUAUGUAUACUGUGUUGAAGUUACUGUAAGAAUAAGGAUCGGCUAACUCCGUGCCAGCCGCCGCAGUAA